CCUACGGGAGGCAGCAGUGAGGAAUAUUGGUCAAUGGACGAGAGUCUGAACCAGCCAAGUAGCGUGAAGGAUGACUGCCCUAUGGGUUGUAAACUUCUUUUAUAUGGGAAUAAAAUGUUCCACGUGUGGCAUUUUGUAUGUACCAUAUGAAUAAGGAUCGGCUAACUCCGUGCCAGCAGCCGCGGUAAUACGGAGGAUCCGAGCGUUAUCCGGAUUUAUUGGGUUUAAAGGGAUCGUAGGUGGAUUGUUAAGUCAGUUGUGAAAGUUUGCGGCUCAACCGUAAAAUUGCAGUUGAAACUGGCAGUCUUGAGUACAGUAGAGGUGGGCGGAAUUCGUGGUGUAGCGGUGAAAUGCUGAGAUAGCACGAAGAACUCCGAUUGCGAAGGCAGCUCACUGGACUGCAACUGACACUGAGGCUCGAAAGUGUGGGUAUCAAACAGGAUUAGAUACCCUUGUAGUC
This 460-nucleotide ribosomal RNA is filed under the name uncultured bacterium. RNAcentral describes it as "partial 16S ribosomal RNA". It matches the Rfam family "Bacterial small subunit ribosomal RNA", at positions 338 to 795 of the family's 1533-position model. The record is from RNAcentral.